GCCAGCAUGGUGUAGUGGUUUGAGUGUUGGACUAGGACACUAAGAGGCCAGGGUUUGAAUCCCUGCUCUGUCA
Molecule: non-coding RNA, 73 nt
Organism: Phrynosoma platyrhinos (Desert horned lizard)
Lineage: Eukaryota; Metazoa; Chordata; Lepidosauria; Squamata; Phrynosomatidae
Source: the annotation of a GenBank genome assembly